GUGCAGACCCGCGUGUGGCGCAGGCAAGGACCCUCAAAAUAAACAGCCUCUACCUUGCGAGCCGUCUUCCCCAGGCCUGCGUCCGAGUCUCCGCCGCUGCGGGCCCGCUCCGACGCGGAAGAUCUGACUGCAGCCAUGAGCAGCAAUGAGUGCUUCAAGUGUGGACGAUCUGGCCACUGGGCCCGGGAAUGUCCUACUGGUGGAGGCCGUGGUCGUGGAAUGAGAAGCCGUGGCAGAGGUGGUUUUACCUCGGAUAGAGGUAUUUUGUCGAAUAGAAAAAUUUGAAGUACUUCAGUAUUUGUUAGUAUCAAGACUGGUCUGACUAGCCGAAUUCUUUGUUUUUGCUCAAAACAGGUUUCCAGUUUGUUUCCUCGUCUCUUCCAGACAUCUGUUAUCGCUGUGGUGAGUCUGGUCAUCUUGCCAAGGAUUGUGAUCUUCAGGAGGAUGGUAAGUAUUUAACACUUCCUUUUCAUACCCCUCUAGAGCUUGGAGAGGUGAGCACAUGCAACUGUGUAUAGCAUUUCCACCUUUGAGGUUUUGUAUUGUAUAAUUUAAAACGUAACACUUUGUAAAGGUUUUAUAGUCUUGGCCUGUUUCUUUUUUCCUUAUUGUUGAAGCCUGCUAUAACUGCGGUAGAGGUGGC
RNAcentral lists this small RNA (643 nucleotides) under Pongo abelii (Sumatran orangutan). RNAcentral describes it as "retained intron". Lineage: Eukaryota; Metazoa; Chordata; Mammalia; Primates; Hominidae. The record is from RNAcentral.